RNAcentral lists this long non-coding RNA (238 nucleotides) under Setaria italica (foxtail millet). Its description in RNAcentral is "long non-coding RNA (SITA_LNC000757)". The record is from RNAcentral. Lineage: Eukaryota; Viridiplantae; Streptophyta; Magnoliopsida; Poales; Poaceae.
GAAUAUGAACACAUCUAUUGCUUCACCAUGAAUGAUUGUACAUUACAAGAUCACCACCGGGAUACUACCUUGAUCUUGAUGACUAUUACCUCCAGAACUCCAGCAUGAUCUUCCUCGCAAGGUGAUCACGCUGGCAGAGAUUUGCCUACGCUAGCCUCCGACAACUGCACGAUCCUCGGCUCUCCGGAGAGGUGUCCCUCAAGCUCCUUCUACUUCUCUGCUGCUUCACAUUGAGUAU